Ictidomys tridecemlineatus (thirteen-lined ground squirrel) is the source of this 4106-nucleotide non-coding RNA. NCBI's taxonomy places the organism in Eukaryota, Metazoa, Chordata, Mammalia, Rodentia, Sciuridae. The record is from RefSeq and is a predicted model, not a curated record.
AUCACCUUCCUUACACCUAGAGGCGCUCGCUCUACGGCCGGAACCUUGUUGCUAAGGACAGGACGGUUUGCGGCAACCUAGGACGCUGCGGAGUUUGAAUUGAGAGGAGAGGGAAAAGUUUUCCUCAGCUGCUGAGUGGUUGUGAACAGAGUAUGGCUGUUUCUUUGACCUACAGCCCUGGAUUUCUGUAAUCCACAGAUUCUCAGGUGCUACUGUGCUACUAGAUCUGGCCAUGAGAUGUAAAAGUGGAAAUAGUGUGUGCAACAUUGAGGAAGUUCUUCAAAAGAAGAUGAUUCACCAUUCUUUCCUUCUUCCUGCUGGUUGAAAUUAGACUUGCUGGCUUAAGAUCCUUACCGAAGGCAGAGUAACAGGACUGAAAGAGCUGAGUCCUUGACACUGGAAUACCAAAAUCACCCUUGAAUUUCUACCUCCACCCACUUUCACAUGGAGAGAAAUAAACUUUUAUUUAAGUUACAGUUAUCCUAGGUUUUCUGACAUAUAUAGCCAAAAUUAUCUUGUUCAUUAUUACUACAAGUUUAAUGGAUUAAAAAAAUGUAUUGUAAUUCUAGAAGUCAGAGUACAAAAUGGGUCUCAUGAGACUAAAAUCAAGGUUUUGGCAAGAUGAGUCUACUUCAGAAAACUCUAGGGAGAGUCUGUUACUUUGCGUUUACCAGCUCCUAGAGGCUGCUCACAUUCCUUGGCUCUUCAGCAUCUUCUUCAAAGCCAGCAACAUCUGGCAGUCAUUCUUAUAUUGCCAGCUCACUGGUUCUUUUUAUACUGCCUCCCUCUUCCACAUAAAAAGGACUUUGCUAUUCAGUUGAACCCACCCAGCUAAUCAGGACAUCUUCCUACUUUAAGAUCAACUGAUUAGCAAGCUUAAUUCCAUCUGCAAUUUUAAUUCCCCUUUGUGAUAUAACCUAACAUUCACAGGGUUGGGUGAUUAGGAACAUGAACACCUUUGAGGGCCACUGUUCUGCCUACUAUAGUGUACAAAUUUUUUAAGUUUUGUGAUUUGAGAAAUAUGUUUUUACUUUAUGAUUUACCUUUAAUACAUUUGCAACUUAUACUAUGCUAAUUGGUCAUUACUCUUUAUAGAACAUUUAGCAUUGUGCCCCAUAAUUUUUUUAUUUUAUAUAUGUGAAGGACAGGUAGUCUAAAAAUGAAUCAUAAUCUUUUCCAAAUUCACAGGGAAAGUGUAAAUAGGUAGGAUUUUUUCAGUAUUGAUUUUUUUCAUAUUUUUAAUAAUUUACUGGCAGUUAUUUACUUCUCAUACAAGAUUCACAUGUAAGUUAAGAUAAAGUUCAACAUAGAAUUAUUUUCAAGUGUAAAUUGUACAUAUUUUCUGGUGUUCCUCACUUUCCAAACACAUUUGAGUACAGCAGUUUAUGAUCCUCUAAUCAUCAAAAAUUUUAAAUUGGUUAAUUUCAUGGAAAUCCGAAUAGUAUGUUGGUGUUACUCCUUCAUUCAAUGCCUAUUUUCAAUCCUAGAGCUUUAAUGGGGUUAGGGUGAGAGAAUUAAAAGAAGUCACAGUGUAUGCAAAUCUUAAGGAUGAAACUAUAGUGCUUUUGAGGUGCAUAUCAAAUAGAAUUAAGCCCCACAUAGCUAAUAAUUCCCCACAUACUUUAGUUUGUCCAUGCCACUGAUGUAGCAUUAUCCCUAUAUGGUUUUUGUUUUGUUUACAUCAGGCCCCUCUCCUAAUUAUCUUUGUGUUUCUGAUACUGAAAGCAGUGCCUGUCCAAAAUAUUUUUAAUAUUUAUGGAAAAGAGGAAAAGUUUCUUGUCAUUGGUGAAUCAUUGCAGCACAGAAAUUUUGUGAAGAGCAAAUAGAAUAGGGUAUGCAGACUAUUCCAUAUGUUAUCUGGCACUUGGUAAACAGUACAUGAAAGACAACAAAAAAUAAGUAAAUUCUUAGGCAAAGAUUAAAGUCAGAUGUAAAGGACAUAAUCCACUAGAAUUCUUACAUAGUGUCUUUCUCUUCAAGGCAAAAAGGUAAUUUUUAUCCCUGAAAUUGUCAUUUAAAGCACAGGUAUAACUAAAGAGCAAAAGAAAGAGAUGAUGUUAACAUGUUUUGCUUAGCAUUUAGUUGUAAUAUUGUCUAAAAAUGUUAGCUUACCUUAGCUAUAUUAUUUAAGGAACUGUCUCUACAAUAAGUACACUUCCUACCCUAGGGAAAAUAACACUAUUUGCAAUGCAAUUAGCUAACCUGUGGCACUUGCUACUCUUAUACAGAUCAUUUUUAAAAGGCAAGUUAAAAAUUAUGAAAGAAAUAUAAAAAUUGCCUUAAGUUUUGUUUCUUGAUUUGCACACACCUAUUUGAACUGUAGAAGCAAAAAGUAGGAAUUCAUCAUAAAGAUAUUAGUGAUUGUUUUUUCAUAGAAUCCAAAAGUAAGAGUGAAGUCAGGUCUCCCAAGUGAAGAAUCAUGAAUACCUCUAAAUGUACAGGUGGUCCCUCUCCAUUUUUUGGCUCUUUGUGUUUCUGUUUCAUUUUGUUGAGGGCCCACUGUUGUGCAUGAAGGUGGUGUGAGGAGACAGAUAAAUACCUGCCAUAACCAUUCCAUAGUGCUUAGAGAGAAAAAUCCUACCCCUAAAGUGUUAUUCAAUAAAGAUUGUGGGUUUUUUUCACAUGUAUAGUUAAUGUAGUUACAACUGUCAGUUUUUCCAUAUACAUACAAGAACAACAUAAUCUAGUAUUAUGUUGUUUUUGUUUAACAUAUAUCCAUUUUCCUACAUAGCUACAUAACCUUUAUAUUUGUCCUUUUUUACAUGGUUGUAACAUUCAAGUUGAUAAGUGUAAUUUACUAAGCCAGGGUUCAUAUUGUUGAAAGUUUCAUUAUUUUUGCUUUAUAAAGAAUAAACACUAUUAUAAUAAGGUUUUGUUUUUAUUUGAUUUUUUUAUAAUUUCCUCAGAGAAUACUCUCAAAAUUGGAAAUACUUACUAGAUGGAAAUGACCAUAUUUGUCUUUUUAAAUAUAUUGUCAGCUUACUUUUGAAAAGGAUUACACAAACAUGAUGUCACUCAAGAUUUAUGAGUUUGACCAUGAUUUAAAAUUUUCCAAAAUUGCUAGUUUAUUCAGACAGACUGAAAACAUUUGAAUUCCCUGAUAUUUUAUAAGAGGUAUAUAGGAAAACACAAGUGCAACAAGAACAUAUAUAAAUAUGUAAUAAGUUCCAUACUGGAUUAAAUCAAUGAUCACUCCAGCUCUGGAUCUUAAGACCUAGUCAGGCUCUUUUAUGUUAAAGUCACCUUGAUCUGGUUUUUAAAAACAUUCCUUCCUCCCACCCAAAGAUUUUUUCAAAGGACUGGCUUUGGGUUUGUAAUCAGUUUUGUCUCUGAAAUUAUCUACCUAGGCUUUACUCAAGUGCAACUGAAUUUAAUCACAUUUUUCUUUUAAGAGUAAUUUAUAAGGUGUUCUUAUAGAUCACAAAAAUGCCCACAAAGAGCCAAAUUGUUUUAUUUCCAGCUUUGAACUUUUUGUAUUUUAUUAUAAAGUUUAGGGACUUGCAUUGUUUCACUUCAGUAGCCAUAUUUUAAUUAAAGGUAAAGUCAUUCCUAGUUAAAAUAGUUCAUAAAAUGUAUACAUUUGCAAUAAGCGUUAGUCAACAUAUUUUGGUAUUACAACUAACAAUUUAUAUUAAUGUUGUAAAUAUUUGUGGAAUUUGUUAUUUUCACACUGAAUUAAUUGCUGUCAUUGAAUAAGUACCUUCUCUCUUUAGUAGCUCCAUUUAUUUCCUGAAUCUACCCAUUGAUACUGUGCUUUUAAUUUAUAAAAUCACCAAUAAAUAUGUGGCUUUUAAAAAAUGUCCAUUUUCCAUAUAAAAUAUGGAAAGUCUCCCAGCAGAUAUUUUCAUUUGCUAACUGGUGAUAUUUUUGGUAAAUGCCAAAAGGUAAUUUAUGAAUAUAUAAAACAUUAAAUGUGUGACAACUAUAGCAGAAAGGGUUAGUAGAAUAAAUGAUUAAUAUAUUGUCUGCUAACAGAAAAAAUUAAAAACACUGACAGUAUGAGAAAAUAGAAUUUUGAGCUGAUCAUGUAAAUUUAUUUCAGUUCUCUUAUUUUCUAUGUCCAUGUAAGACCUAGUAAAUUAAGAAAAUAUAUAGUUUGAAUCCUG